Molecule: long non-coding RNA, 199 nt
Filed under: Malus domestica (apple)
Lineage: Eukaryota; Viridiplantae; Streptophyta; Magnoliopsida; Rosales; Rosaceae
Description: long non-coding RNA (MDOM_LNC003291)
Source: RNAcentral
GUUUUUUGUAUAAUUGGCUAAUAAAAAGGAAGAAAUGGUGGGAAAAGGUAGAAAAAAAGGUAAUGGAUUAGGUUUUUCAAUGGGAUAGCCGGCCCUCUUGUGUUUUUAGGUUUGAGUGGAUGUUUCAAAUUGACAAUUAAGGGAUUGAUUAGGUAAUUAAUCCCUUAAUUAGUCAAUUAUUAUGAUUUUAUGAAAUAUG